UUUAAAUGAUGAUUAAAAGAUGUCAGUUCUGCUACUGAAUUACUUCCAUGUAGAUAAUACAUUUGCUUACCAAACAUUCUCUGAGAA
Molecule: small nucleolar RNA, 87 nt
Organism: Smittium culicis
Lineage: Eukaryota; Fungi; Kickxellomycota; Harpellomycetes; Harpellales; Legeriomycetaceae
Source: Rfam